AUUGAACGCUGGCGGCAGGCCUAACACAUGCAAGUCGAGCGGAUGAAGGGAGCUUGCUCCUGGAUUCAGCGGCGGACGGGUGAGUAAUGCCUAGGAAUCUGCCUGGUAGUGGGGGAUAACGUCCGGAAACGGGCGCUAAUACCGCAUACGUCCUGAGGGAGAAAGUGGGGGAUCUUCGGACCUCACGCUAUCAGAUGAGCCUAGGUCGGAUUAGCUAGUUGGUGGGGUAAAGGCCUACCAAGGCGACGAUCCGUAACUGGUCUGAGAGGAUGAUCAGUCACACUGGAACUGAGACACGGUCCAGACUCCUACGGGAGGCAGCAGUGGGGAAUAUUGGACAAUGGGCGAAAGCCUGAUCCAGCCAUGCCGCGUGUGUGAAGAAGGUCUGCGGAUUGUAAAGCACUUUAAGUUGGGAGGAAGGGCAGUAAGUUAAUACCUUGCUGUUUUGACGUUAUCAACAGAAUAAGCACCGGCUAACUUCGG
RNAcentral lists this ribosomal RNA (483 nucleotides) under uncultured bacterium. RNAcentral's name for it is "partial 16S ribosomal RNA". It matches the Rfam family "Bacterial small subunit ribosomal RNA", at positions 30 to 506 of the family's 1533-position model. The record is from RNAcentral.